UCUUCAAAGCCCCAACUUCACUUGCUAACAUUCUCAUUUACACUAAUUAAACUACCACUAAACUACCACCUAAUACAGACUCAAAGCAUACGAAAACACCUAUAGUCUAUUUCCUUUAUUCAGGAGCACCACUUGUAACUCCAAUUGGUGAAGCAAAUUCUGGCCAUAUUUAUGCAGUCUUCACCGUUGUUAUGCUUGCCAUUACACUCCAACAACAGUUAUUUUCUUUGCUGCAAAGUCUAUGCUUGGAUGACAACUAAUUUCAUCUUCAUAAUAUAUCCAUCCACCAAAAAUUCGAGCCAACCUAUUAAAGUAGGAAUCUUUCAACAUAAUUUGAGCCACCAACAUUCACAGAGUUUGCAAUCUAAUAAAGAUCGAAAGCAUUGUGAGAUAUAAGAUCUUGGACUUCACAUUGGUUAAAACAUAUCAAUCUCUCCAAGUUCAAAACUUCAUACUUAUCCCUAAUUUAAGUUGUUGAGAACUUUUUUUUUUGAAGAAGAUUGAGAACUUUUUUUUACUUAGUAUCAUAAGCAAAGAUUGAAGCAUUUAAGUACUGUAUAUUAAAGCAUUCAAAAUUACAACAAAGCAUGUCAUCAUAUCUCUGUUUUCAAAGCCAGCCAUCUAAAGCAAGAAAGAUAAGAGUGUGACUUUUUUUCUCUUUCCUAGAUUGGGUUUUAUAACAGUCAUUUAAUUAUGUGAGAUAGGAUGCCAUAUAGGAAAUGAAGGGUUAGAGGAAGAUGUUGUUGAAAUAAGAUAGACAAAACACAGAGGAGAUGAAUAGAAAAGAAAAUUAGAAGAGUGGUGUAUUUGAUCAAUAAGAAAAUAUGUGUGGAUUAGUGAAGGAGUUAUGCAAAAAUAUAGGGUUGGAUACUCAAUACUUCCUAAAAAGUAGCAAUGAUGAUGUAGUCAUCCCUAUAAAAUAGUAAUAACCAUAAAUACCUAUCCCCCUCCCCUACAAAGUAGCAGUUAUGAUUCACCAACAUGUUCCAAAUUUAUCUGCAUACGUAAAAAAAGGAAUAAAAAGUUGCUUAUUAAAAAAAUAAAAAUAAAAAGGAGGUAUUGAAUCAACAUUCGGAACUGCAAAAUCAAUGCAUGGAUUUUAAGCCAUAUGCUCCAGUACCAAAAUGUGAUUCUUCAAAAAAAGAAUGAUCUAUAACACAGAGCACAAAAUAGCAUAGUUUACUUUAGAGAUUAAAUCUACCUGAGUGCCCCAGUCACCAAUAUGAUUUCGGCGGAUCAGACAUUCAUGUCAGUAACAUCUUUUGUAGGCUCUGCAGGAGGAAUGUUUUUUCUGUCAAUGCAUAAUCGAAACAACACACGCUAGGAGUACACUACAAUCCAUUACAGACACUGGCCUACAUAUUUUGGAGACACACAUACCCACAAGCUUGAAGUUAUAAGCUUCAAAUGCUUUCAAAUUCUAAGCUUCAAACUCUAUCCUAAUAGCUUUCUUGAAAAGGGAAAAAGAAGUCCAUGAAAUUUCAAUCUAUUUUAUUUAAAAUUUCACUCUUAUAUAUUACUCAAUCAUAUAGAAAAGAAGUGGAAAAGAAAAAAGAGACUGAGAAAACAUGGACAUAAAGGAGAUUUGUCCAAUAGAAUACUUCGAUAGAUGUAAAAUAUGUCAUCCAAACCACAUAGAUAUAAUGCAUCAAUAACAACUUCACAAAAAAUUCACAAUUCAAACUAUUCAACAAUACCAAAAGAGUGGAGACAUUUUACCAAUUAUUCAACAACUUUAAAAUCCUUCCUUAUAUAAGUUUAUUGAAAGGGAGAAAUCCCCUUUGAAAUCAGGAGUAUAAAAUCCAUCUGAUGCAGCCACUCCAACAAAAGUUUGAGCAUUGGGCAUAUACAAUUCCGAACCAGAUUUCCCAUUAAAAUUUAAGUUUCUCAUUAACUUCAAAAGUCUCUGCUUCUCUUCAGCAGACUUUGCUCCAUAACCCUACCCCAAAUAUCAUACAAAAU
This 1962-nucleotide long non-coding RNA is filed under the name Trifolium pratense (red clover). RNAcentral's name for it is "long non-coding RNA (TPRA_LNC009530)". The record is from RNAcentral. Lineage: Eukaryota; Viridiplantae; Streptophyta; Magnoliopsida; Fabales; Fabaceae.